This 702-nucleotide long non-coding RNA is filed under the name Gallus gallus (chicken). RNAcentral's name for it is "lncRNA (ENSGALG00010028313.1)". The record is from RNAcentral. Lineage: Eukaryota; Metazoa; Chordata; Aves; Galliformes; Phasianidae.
CAAACAUCCCACUAAGCAGACAGCUCAAGUGGGACAAAGCUUGCUAGCUGGUUCUUGUGUUAAACCCACACCAUCCUCUUUCAUGAGAGGGUGCAUUUUUUGGCUUCUGUGGCCAAACCAAAUGCAAGAAGGGCUACUAGGUCUCUGAUUUGGCUCAAACAAAUAAACUGUCUGUUACAGUGUGUCUUGUGCAUGUGGACUGUAGGAGAGGAGCACGACUUUUGGUUCUUGAUCUUUGCCUGUGAGCCAGACAUCUAAACUCCCUUCAUCAAGCUCCCAAGAUUUUUGCUUAUUUUUUAAAGGAGAGAUGUGAGUAAAACUGCCUGGAAGCUAUGCCAUGCCUUCUGAAAGGGAAGUAAGCUUUGGAAUUCAGGUAGGCUGUGAAACCACACAGACAAAUAUCCAUCACUGGAAAACACCACUGAUCUACAGACAAGCUUGGUUCUGACGGACUCUAUUGUGCCCCGCACCAGACUCCAGAACAUCUGUGUCAUGGGAUGACACCUCUCUGCUGGGGAAGUCUGUUCAAAUUUCUGUUCAGAUCCUCAGGUGCCAACUCAGUCUCUGCUGGAUAUUGUACUGGGCAGCUGCUGUGGAACUGGCUGGCUCAUCUCGGAGCUCUGGGACUGUUAAGCCUGGAGAGAGUUUUGUUUCUAGUGCCCAAAGUGUCAGCACAACUUAAGCUUUCUAGAGUGUCCCGAG